AGGUGGGUAUGGUGAGAAAAGGUAGAUACGACGGAAAAGGUAGGUGGGCAAGAUGUCACCAAGAAGAAAGAAGCCAUGGUAGAAGAAAGUGGGCAAGGGGUGGGGGCACUGGUGGCUUGAGGGUCCGGCCCAUCCGGAGGUAGCAGAUAAAGGGAGAGCAGGGCUAGAGGAACGCUAAAAUCGGGAGCACGAUUGGAGUUCACGGCCUGUGUUGUCCUCCACCUCCUCCAGGUACAUGGUGCGGGUCCGAGCCGUGGUGAUGGCCCGAGAUGACUCCAGUGGGGGCUGGCUGCCUGUGGGGGGCGGGGGCCUCAGCCAGGUGAGCGUAUGUCGGGUCCGAGGGGCCAGGCCCGAGGGGGGGGCCCGCCAGGGGCACUACGUCAUCCACGGGGAGCGGCUUCGGGACCAGAAAACCACCUUGGAGUGUACCCUGCGGCCAGGUUUGGUUUACAACAAAGUCAACCCUAUCUUCCACCACUGGAGCCUGGGGGACUGCAAGUUUGGGCUGACGUUUCAGAGUCCCGCAGAGGCUGAUGAGUUCCAGAAGAGUCUGCUAGCUGCGCUGGCCUCCCUCAGCCGAGGCUCGCUCACUCCCUCCUCUUCCUCUUCCUCCUCCUCCCCUUCCCAGGACACUGCAGAGACCCCCUGCCCUCUGACGUCCCACGUGGACAGCGACUCCUCCUCCAGUCACAGCCGCCAGGAGACUCCUCCCACAGCUGUUGCGGCUCCCAUUGUCACGGUGGAGUCAACAUCUGCCUUCCCACCAGCCACACCCCCACAACGGCGACGCUCCUCUGCACAGAGCUACCCUCCGCUUCUACCGUUCACUGGGAUUCCAGAACCCUCAGAGUCUCUAGCCGGGGCAGGGAGCCAGGGCUGGGGCGGCCGUGGCUAUGAGGACUACCGGCGAUCCGGACUACCGGCACCUCUUCCCCUGUCUACCUGCGUCGUGGGCUUCGCCAAGACUGGUGCAUUGAGGGGUGCAGCUCUGGGUCCCCCAGUGUCACUCCCCGCCCCUCUCACUGAGGCUACGCCCCCAGCACCCCCUGCUCGUCCACCCCCGGGUCCGGGCCCCACUCCUGCUCCAGCCAAGGCCUCCCCGGAGGCCGAGGAGGCUGCACGCUGCGUGCACUGCAGAGCACUCUUCCGCCGCCGUGCGGAUGGGCGUGGUGGUCGGUGCGCAGAGGCCCCAGACCCAGGUCGCCUCCUAGUGCGCAGGCUCAGCUGCCUGUGGUGUGCCGAGAGCUUGCUGUACCACUGUCUGUCGGACGCCGAGGGUGACUUCUCGGACCCAUGCGCAUGUGAGCCAGGCCACCCGCGCCCUGCUGCACGCUGGGCCGCUCUGGCUGCGCUGUCGCUGGCAGUGCCCUGCCUCUGCUGCUACGCACCUCUGCGCGCCUGUCACUGGGUUGCAGCACGGUGCGGCUGCGCAGGCUGUGGGGGUCGCCAUGAGGAGGCUGCACGGUGAGGAUCGUUGGGCUGGUUUGAAAAUCGGUCUGAAGACCUAAAAUGGAGGGUCCAGGACCCUGAACUCCGUACGAACCUAAAACCCAAACUUAGGGCCUGGCAUUGCUGCAGAGGAUUGUACACACCGAGGAUUGCACCAGCUCUCAGCUGAGCAGAGACAGGCAGCUGCAGGGGUCAAGCAGGUACUUAGAGGAAGCCCACCCUUCUCUCCUGUACACAGCUGUACCUUUUGGGCUGGCUAUGGCUCCACAGAAGCCCCCAUCAUCCCUAACCCUUGCAGAUCACUCCUGCCACCAACCCCUAGUUCAUUCAGGUCCAUCUCCUGUUAGCCUCCUCCAUCUCGGUUGGGAGUUGCUUUGGAAAGCUCGGCACUGUUUAAUGCACUUCCCCAUGCUUUCCUUCUGAAGAAGAGGGGUGCCACAGCCUCUUUUCUCUAAGAAGAGUGGGGUGUCACUGUGCCUAGGAACUGGUGUCCUGGAUAGGGGAACCAAGGUCUCAGAGCCAAGACAGUCUUGAUGGUUUAUGGGCUUAGGACCUACAUCUGGCCCUAAGUUACUAGGGAUGUGCACUUAACCAUUCCUCAUUACCUAGACUCGGGUGGCCUUGUGGGGAUUCAAGGGAUUAAUAUUUGUGUCACUUCCUUUAAAUUAUUAACUAUUUAUUGUAUCCGGAACCUGUGAUUCAGCUCUCCCAACCAGACCCUGGGAUGGGUAAGAGAAAAUGGGGAGGGGGGUGUCUCUCCCAUCCCCACUGUUCGGCUCUCAUCACUGUCAAACCCACCAGAGCUGAGGGCGGAGGAACUGGGGGCUGGGGCAGCCUGGGUCCCCAUCCCCCUCUCUGUGCCUCGGUCUCCCCCCUUCCAUGGUGAGUGGGGGGAAGCUCCAUUCUUAACCUACCUCGUUUUGGGAAGGGGUGGGAUGGGGGACCAGAGUGCUGUAUGGUGCUGUGAGAUCUUCGGAUUAAGCAGUGGGGACCGGGGAAGGUUCCCUAGUCCCCAUCUCCCAGUACCCCUCUCCCAGGUCCCCAGCCCUGUUCCUUGCUGACACCCACCUCUGAUCCAUGAUUACCUUUCACUGCCCCCAUAUCUGGGGGGCGUGGAGGGCUGAACCCUGGGAGCCAGGAAGACCUCAGACCCUGGAGCCCCCAAUUUUCCAGCUGCUUGCCCCUCAGAUUGGAUGCUUGCCCCCCCCAGAUUUUGGGGCAGGCACGCCAACAUUUAUCUUCCUGAUCGUGAUUCCAAGCCAGUCUGUGACCUCAAUAUUGUUAGCGUCAGUGCAGGCUGAAGCGGAGGGAGGAUGGGGGGGCCAAAGACCCAGCCUUGUCAUUGGGGAGAGGGGCUUGAAAUCUGCUCCAAGAAAUGUCUGUGACAGUGUC
Peromyscus leucopus (white-footed mouse) is the source of this 2841-nucleotide RNA transcript. It is a transcript of the gene named sprouty related EVH1 domain containing 3, with no coding region annotated. NCBI's taxonomy places the organism in Eukaryota, Metazoa, Chordata, Mammalia, Rodentia, Cricetidae. The transcript is spliced from 6 exons. The record is from RefSeq and is a predicted model, not a curated record.